This 573-nucleotide long non-coding RNA is filed under the name Homo sapiens (human). RNAcentral's name for it is "non-protein coding lnc-MTRNR2L7-1:1". Lineage: Eukaryota; Metazoa; Chordata; Mammalia; Primates; Hominidae. The record is from RNAcentral.
AUGCCUAUAAUUAACCUUCUCCUACUCAUUAUCCCCACUCUUAUCACUAUAGCAUUCCUUAUGCUCAUGGAAUGAGAAAUCUUAGGCUAUAAACAACUAUGCAAGGGACCCAACAUUGUAGGUCCCUAUGGGCUGCUUCAACCUUUUGCUGAUGCAAUAAAACUUUUCAACAAAGAACCCUUACAGCCUCCAACAUCUACUAUUACCUUUUAUAUUAUUGCUCCAACCAUAGCCCUUUCUAUUGCUCUCCUCUUAUGAACUCCCCUCCCUAUGCCAGAUCAUCUAAUUAAUUUUAAUAUAGGUCUUCUAUUUAUACUAGCCACAUCAAGCUUAACCAUCUACUCUAUUCUAUGAUCAGGAUGAGCAUCUAAUUCAAAAUAUGCACUAAUCCAUGCAUUAUGAGCUAUGGCCCAGACAAUUUCAUAUGAGGUCACCCUAGCCAUUAUCCUGUUAUCAGUCCUACUGAUAAGUGGCUCAUUUAACUUGCAUACACUCAUCACAUUUUGCAAGAAUUCUUAUGACUGCUCCUACCAUUCAUGGCCCCUAGCCAUAAUAUGAUUUAUCUCCACACUU